GAUGAAGAACGCAGCGAAAUGCGAUAAGUAAUGUGAAUUGCAGAAUUCAGUGAAUCAUCGAAUCUUUGAACACACAUUGCGCCCCUUGGUAUUCCGAGGGGCAUGCCUGUUCGAGCGUCAUUAUAACCCCUCAAGCUCAGCUUGGUGUUGGGGCCUGCCGCACGGGCAGCCCUUAAAAUCAGUGGCGGUGCCAUCUGGCUCUAAGCGUAGUAAUUCUUCUCGCUAUAGAGUCCCGGUGGAUGCUUGCCAUUAACCCCCAAUUUUCUAUGGUUGACCUCGGAUCAGGUAGGGAUACCCGCUGAACUUAAGCAUAUCAAUAAGCGGAGGA
Molecule: unclassified non-coding RNA, 328 nt
Filed under: soil metagenome
Description: partial contains 5.8S ribosomal RNA, internal transcribed spacer 2, and large subunit ribosomal RNA
Rfam family: 5.8S ribosomal RNA (bases 1-120)
Source: RNAcentral